CCGACAAUGGCACUCAAAUUCUCUCAUUUUCUCAUGCCCUCUCUGUCACAUUCGUAGCUCGAUCACCCUCUUCUGGGACUUAGCGUUCUGAGCAUGCGGUUUUUGCAACGGCCAUUUCGUACCGCUUCGAUCUCAUCACCUUCUCUCCCCUCCCAUCUUCCUUUUUGAUCCUCGCUUUGGGGCUUGCAAAUUUUUGACAUGUCAAAUGAGAGUGACGCCAAAAUGUAAACAGCAAGUGUUUGCGUGUGCGGUGAUUUUAAUAAACAUAAAAUCAACCACGGAAGCAUGAUUUAGUUGUGGUGGAAGCGAAAAAACAAUGCUUGGAGCAUGGAAUAAAGCCGAAUGAAAUUUCUAACCUUCACGCACGACGCCGCCGCUAGGUAAGGUAUGUUUAUGUGUAAUUACGAUCAUUGUUCCAUUUUAGGGUGUGAUUUGUGCAAUAUAACCGUUCCUGGCGGGGAUAGUCAAUAGUCGAUACCCUUUGCAGCUGUGAAGGGGUGCAGAAGAAGGGGCUCGCUACCACCCUUCUCACACCCCGACGCUUUUUCCGCGGAUGAAGAAUAUGUUCCUGGCUGUAUGCGCUAAAUCUAACGGUGAUCCGUAUCGUGAACGAAUCGGCAUAGGCGGUGCCUGUCCCCGGCGGUUUGUGAAAAUGGUACACAACGGUAUAGAGUACGAUAGACAACAUGCAACUGAUCAGCGAAGUGCGCCACCUGAUGCUGGCGUUCGGCAAGACACAGAAGGAGAUGGCAUAGAAGUUCGACGAGUGGAACAAGGACGUGCUAGAUUCGUUCC
This is a long non-coding RNA of Anopheles gambiae (African malaria mosquito), 795 nucleotides long. RefSeq lists it as uncharacterized. NCBI's taxonomy places the organism in Eukaryota, Metazoa, Arthropoda, Insecta, Diptera, Culicidae. The transcript has 3 exons. The record is from RefSeq and is a predicted model, not a curated record.